This 374-nucleotide ribosomal RNA is filed under the name uncultured eukaryote. RNAcentral describes it as "partial 18S ribosomal RNA". It matches the Rfam family "Eukaryotic small subunit ribosomal RNA", at positions 592 to 976 of the family's 1831-position model. The record is from RNAcentral.
CAAGAGCGUAUGUAAAAGUUGUUGCAGUUAAAAAGCUCGUAGUUGAACCUUGGGUUUGGUUGGCCGGUCCGCUUUUUUGCGAGUACUGGAUUCAACCGAGCCUUUCCUUCUGGCUAACCAGUCGUUUCGGCGGCUGGCGAACCAGGAUUUUUACUUUGAGAAAAUUAGAGUGUUCAAAGCAGGCAUUAGCUUGAAUAUAUUAGCAUGGAAUAAUAGAAUAGGACGUUAUGGUUCUAUUUUGUUGGUUUCUAGGACCAUCGUAAUGAUUAACAGGGACGGUCGGGGGCAUCAGUAUUCAGUUGUCAGAGGUGAAAUUCUUGGAUUUACUGAAGACUAACUACUGCGAAAGCAUUUGCCAAGGACGUUUUCAUUAA